This 73-nucleotide transfer RNA is filed under the name Mustela putorius furo (domestic ferret). It matches the Rfam family "tRNA". From Rfam's summary of the family: Transfer RNA (tRNA) molecules are approximately 80 nucleotides in length. Their secondary structure includes four short double-helical elements and three loops (D, anti-codon, and T loops). Lineage: Eukaryota; Metazoa; Chordata; Mammalia; Carnivora; Mustelidae. The record is from Rfam by way of RNAcentral.
ACCUGACUGGCUCAGUGGGAAGAGCACGUGACUCUUGAUCUCAGGGUUGUGAGUUUGAGUCCCUUGGUGGGUG